CCUACGGGAGGCAGCAGUGAGGAAUAUUGGUCAAUGGGCGCGAGCCUGAACCAGCCAAGUCGCGUGAGGGAUGAAGGUUCUAUGGAUCGUAAACCUCUUUUAUAAGGGAAUAAAGUGUGGGACGUGUCCUAUUUUGUAUGUACCUUAUGAAUAAGGAUCGGCUAACUCCGUGCCAGCAGCCGCGGUAAUACGGAGGAUCCGAGCGUUAUCCGGAUUUAUUGGGUUUAAAGGGUGCGUAGGCGGCCUUUUAAGUCCGCGGUGAAAGUCUGUGGCUCAACCAUAGAAUUGCCGUUGAAACUGGGGGGGUUGAGUAUGUUUGAGGGAAGCGGGAAGGGGGGUGGAGGGGGUAAA
RNAcentral lists this ribosomal RNA (351 nucleotides) under uncultured bacterium. RNAcentral's name for it is "partial 16S ribosomal RNA". It matches the Rfam family "Bacterial small subunit ribosomal RNA", at positions 338 to 686 of the family's 1533-position model. The record is from RNAcentral.